UAUGGAGGAUGCAAGCGUUAUCCGGAUUUAUUGGGUUUAAAGGGUGCGCAGGUUGUUUGAUAAGUCAGUGGUGAAAGUCUGUCGCUUAACGGUAGGAUUGCCAUUGAUACUGUUGGACUUGAAUAUGGAUGAGGUAGGCGGAAUGUGUAGUGUAGCGGUGAAAUGCAUAGAUAUUACACAGAACACCGAUUGCGAAGGCAGCUUACUAAUCCAUCAUUGACGCUGAGGCACGAAAGCGUGGGGAUCAAA
This 249-nucleotide ribosomal RNA is filed under the name uncultured prokaryote. RNAcentral describes it as "partial 16S ribosomal RNA". It matches the Rfam family "Bacterial small subunit ribosomal RNA", at positions 524 to 772 of the family's 1533-position model. The record is from RNAcentral.